Molecule: ribosomal RNA, 200 nt
Filed under: uncultured bacterium
Lineage: Bacteria
Description: partial 16S ribosomal RNA
Rfam family: Bacterial small subunit ribosomal RNA
Source: RNAcentral
UACGGAGGGGGCUAGCGUUGUUCGGAAUUACUGGGCGUAAAGGGCGUGUAGGCGGCGGAUUUAGUUAGGCGUGAAAGCCCCGGGCUCAACCUGGGAACUGCGCUUAAUACUGAUCUGCUAGAGUCCGGGAGAGGCGAGUGGAAUAUCCAGUGUAGAGGUGAAAUUCGUAGAUAUUGGAUGGAACACCAGUGGCGAAGGCG